Molecule: unclassified non-coding RNA, 1560 nt
Filed under: Bartonella clarridgeiae
Lineage: Bacteria; Pseudomonadati; Pseudomonadota; Alphaproteobacteria; Hyphomicrobiales; Bartonellaceae
Description: partial contains 16S ribosomal RNA, 16S-23S intergenic spacer, and 23S ribosomal RNA
Rfam family: tRNA (bases 429-502)
Source: RNAcentral
UAGAGGCAGGCAACCACGGUAGGGUCAGCGACUGGGGUGAAGUCGUAACAAGGUAGCCGUAGGGGAACCUGUGGCUGGAUCACCUCCUUUCUAAGGAUGAUCAAGAAUGGGCCUAGGCCUUUUUUGAUCUGAUUAGACAUUGACGGUUUAAAGUCUUAUUUAAACCGUUGACAUAUUUUAAACAUUCUAUGAACCGUGGGUUUUGAAUGGAAACUCUGUCCCCUUUAGUGAUACAGAGCAUAACUGUUUUUUAUCCAUGGUUCAUUUGUUUAAAAAUUUAUAAAAAGACUAGCCGCCUUCAUUUCACUUUCUUCAGAUUAUGAUCCUAAGCCUUCUGGCGAUCUGUUUGCACAAGCCUCUGAGAGGGAUGAAGAUAUUGUUUUCUUUGAUCAGAUUAUGCCGGUAAAGGUUUUCUGGUUUACCCUAUAGGGCUUGUAGCUCAGUUGGUUAGAGCGCGCGCUUGAUAAGCGUGAGGUCGGAGGUUCAAGUCCUCCCAGGCCCACCAGUUACACGAUGCUAAAAGUUGCUAUAUUGGGAGAGUUGAUAAUCCCUUACAGGAAAUUAUUGCCCUUAAUAAAACUUUAUUUUCUAAAAGCAUUCAGAGCUGACAUAGAAUAGAGCUGACAUAGAAUUGAGAAUCUGACAUAGGAAUUAUUGAAAUUGUUUUGGAAUUAUUGAAAUUGUUUUCUAUCAUUUUAAAAGGCUAAAAUAUUCUGUCUCUAUUUUUAAAAUAGCAUCAGGUGUUUUGUAAGAGUGUGAAGUUUUUAAGUGUGAGGUUUUUUAAAUUUUAGUGUGAGGUUUUUAUCAGGGUAUGACGUGAGAGCGUUUUGACCUGUUUUAGGGGCCGUAGCUCAGCUGGGAGAGCACCUGCUUUGCAAGCAGGGGGUCGUCGGUUCGAUCCCGUCCGGCUCCACCAUAAUUUGGUUCAUCAUUAUUGUUAGAAGAAUAGUUAUUGCAAGAGAUGAGAGAUCUCUUUGCUUGUUCUAUUGAAAUUGUGAAGAAGAAGGUAUAUUCAGACGUUUUUUGCUUGAACUCAUUCUUAUGAAAGAGAUUUUUCUUAUGAAAGAGAUUUUUAAGAAUGGAUAGCUUAAAAAGAAGAAUGGAUGGCUUAAAAAGGUGGCUUAAAAAGAUGGCUGUUUUUAAAUGAAAAUAGUUAUUUUUACGCUCUUUUGACGAUUGUUACAACAUUAUACGAUUAAAACAUUAUACGAUAAUGAUAAUAACGAUAAUAAAAAGAGCUUUCAUUAAUAAAAAGAGCUUUCAUUAAUAAUAAAGAGCUUUCAUUAAUAAUAAAGAGCUUUCAUUGAACUUUCAUUGAAGAAGCAUUUUGAGCAAAACAGAUGUGUCGCAAGGAAGAGCUCAAAUUCCUUGCUUAUGAUUGGCAACUUAACCGUGCCAUUGAAUAUAUCUCGAGAAGUUGGUCUUUUCUGCUGAUAUUUUUGUUUUAAGUGCCUAUUGAUGCUAGAUUAUUUUUAAAAAUAAUUUUGUAUUGAUGAUUUUGCACGGAAUAAUUGACGAAUGAAUAUUGGCAAUGAGAAUGAUCAAGUGUCUUAAGGAUUU